This 421-nucleotide long non-coding RNA is filed under the name Astyanax mexicanus (Mexican tetra). RNAcentral describes it as "lncRNA (ENSAMXG00005020211.1)". The record is from RNAcentral. Lineage: Eukaryota; Metazoa; Chordata; Actinopteri; Characiformes; Acestrorhamphidae.
ACAGGUAAAGCAGGACAAAAGAAAAUUACAUUCCAGAGUUGGCCCUCUUUGACAAGUCAUCUUACUUAAGGUUGACAGCUUACAGUGAGGCACCUCAGAAAAUGUCCAAGCUGAAAAAUAUCAGCGUGCCGAGCGGGGAGUGCAGCAGGAGGCGGCGGGGGCUCUGGGGGAAAGCUGCGGCCUAAAGGAGAUAAAAAUAAGAUGUGCCAAUGACAAAGAUGCAUUGACCUGCAUCAGGCACAAAGAAAGACGCCCUUGACCAGCGUGGGCACACGGGCUGAAGGAAGGCUCGGUCAUCGCCACUUCGUCACUCAUCAACCUGCCGCCUGCAUCACCAGCUGCUGCACUGCUCAAGUCUAUGUUUGGAUCACUUAAAGUGAUGGUUUGUGCAAAAAUGAUUCUGGUUUCCUAUUAACUUACA